ACGGAGGGUGCAAGCGUUGUUCGGAAUUAUUGGGCGUAAAGGGCGUGUAGGUGGCUUUCCAAGUCUGGUGUGAAAUCCCACGGCUCAACCGUGGAACUGCAUUGGAAACUGGUGAGCUCGAGUGUUGGAGGGGGUCGCGGAAUUCCCGGUGUAGAGGUGAAAUUCGUAGAUAUCGGGAGGAACACCAGUGGCGAAGGCGGCGACCUGGCCAAUCACUGACACUGAGACGCGAAAGCGUGGGGAGCAAACAAGA
RNAcentral lists this ribosomal RNA (253 nucleotides) under uncultured prokaryote. RNAcentral's name for it is "partial 16S ribosomal RNA". It matches the Rfam family "Bacterial small subunit ribosomal RNA", at positions 525 to 777 of the family's 1533-position model. The record is from RNAcentral.